Molecule: ribosomal RNA, 254 nt
Filed under: uncultured bacterium
Lineage: Bacteria
Description: partial 16S ribosomal RNA
Rfam family: Bacterial small subunit ribosomal RNA
Source: RNAcentral
UACGUAGGGUCCAAGCGUUAUCCGGAAUCACUGGGCGUAAAGCGUGCGUAGGCGGAUGUUUAAGUGCAAUGCGAAAUCCUGUGGCUCAACCAUAUGGACUGUGUUGCAUACUGGAUAUCUGGAGGAAUGCAGAGGCAAGUGGAAUUACUGGUGUAGCAGUGAAAUGCGUAGAUAUCAGUAGGAACACCAAUGGCGAAGGCAGCACUCUGGGACGUGACUGACGCUGAGACGCGAAAGCGUGGGGAGCAAACAGG